Unclassified non-coding RNA from Pongo abelii (Sumatran orangutan), 148 nucleotides. It matches the Rfam family "Metazoan signal recognition particle RNA". Rfam says of the family: The signal recognition particle (SRP) is a universally conserved ribonucleoprotein. It is involved in the co-translational targeting of proteins to membranes. The record is from Ensembl. NCBI's taxonomy places the organism in Eukaryota, Metazoa, Chordata, Mammalia, Primates, Hominidae.
GCCAGAUGUGGUGGCUCACGCCUGUAGUCCCAGCUACUUGGGAGGCUGAGGUGAGGGGGUAACUUGAGCCCAGGAGGUUGAGGCUGCAGUGAGCUGAGAUCAAGCCACUGUGCCCCAACCUGGGCAACAGAGUGAGACCUUGUCUCAA